Molecule: ribosomal RNA, 253 nt
Filed under: uncultured bacterium
Lineage: Bacteria
Description: partial 16S ribosomal RNA
Rfam family: Bacterial small subunit ribosomal RNA
Source: RNAcentral
UACGUAGGGGGCAAGCGUUGUCCGGAAUCAUUGGGCGUAAAGAGCGUGUAGGCGGCCCGGUAAGUCCGCUGUGAAAGUCCAGGGCUCAACCCUGGGAUGCCGGUGGAUACUGUCGGGCUCGAGUCCGGAAGAGGAGUGUGGAAUUCCUGGUGUAGCGGUGAAAUGCGUAGAUAUCAGGAGGAACACCGGUGGCGAAGGCGGCCCUCUGGACGGAUACUGACGCUGAGACGCGACAGCGUGGGGAGCAAACAGG